CACGUAGGGCGCAAGCGUUGUCCGGAAUUAUUGGGCGUAAAGAGCUCGUAGGCGGUCUGUUGCGUCCGCUGUGAAAACUCGGGGCUUAACCCCGAGCCUGCAGUGGAUACGGGCAGACUAGAGUGUGGUAGGGGAGACUGGAAUUCCUGGUGUAGCGGUGGAAUGCGCAGAUAUCAGGAGGAACACCGAUGGCGAAGGCAGGUCUCUGGGCCAUUACUGACACUGAGAAGCGAAAGCAUGGGGAGCGAACAGG
Molecule: ribosomal RNA, 253 nt
Filed under: uncultured bacterium
Lineage: Bacteria
Description: partial 16S ribosomal RNA
Rfam family: Bacterial small subunit ribosomal RNA
Source: RNAcentral